UACGUAGGGUGCAAGCGUUGUCCGGAAUUAUUGGGCGUAAAGAGCUCGUAGGCGGUUUGUUGCGUCGGCUGUGAAAUCCCGAGGCUCAACCUCGGGUCUGCAGUCGAUACGAGCAAACUAGAGUGUUGCAGGGGAGACUGGAAUUCCUGGUGUAGCGGUGAAAUGCGCAGAUAUCAGGAAGAACACCGGUGGCGAAAGCGCUCUGCUAGGCCGCAACUGACACUGAGGAGCGAAAGCGUGGGGAGCGAACAGG
RNAcentral lists this ribosomal RNA (253 nucleotides) under uncultured bacterium. RNAcentral describes it as "partial 16S ribosomal RNA". It matches the Rfam family "Bacterial small subunit ribosomal RNA", at positions 524 to 776 of the family's 1533-position model. The record is from RNAcentral.